This is a long non-coding RNA of Cydia fagiglandana, 659 nucleotides long. RefSeq lists it as uncharacterized. The transcript has 3 exons. NCBI's taxonomy places the organism in Eukaryota, Metazoa, Arthropoda, Insecta, Lepidoptera, Tortricidae. The record is from RefSeq and is a predicted model, not a curated record.
UCUAGCACAUCUUGCAUCCGCGACUUAGACCGCGACUCGAGUCGCCAUUCCCGCGGCUGUCAAAUCUGUCGAUUUCCGUAGCAUAACUUGUACCCGCGACUGCAACAGCCGCGUAGAGAACUCAAAGUCGCGGCGCGACUCGUCAGUGUUACCCGGCGAAAUCAAAGUCUAAACAAAUCGAUAUUUGCAAGUGGCAACACUGAAUCGGAAACCAGGGAUGCGCUAAAUCAUUCGUUCUUUGGUGGUAAAAAAUCUAGUUUUUUGUCGAUGGUUAAGUUUUUCCUGUCAAAGUCAAGGAACUUUCAAAUUUUGUCAACAUUUAAUUACGGGAAAAAAUAUGAAAAAAUAAUAAGUCCAGCAUUAUCCUAGACACGAUUGAUAUCCCAGCACCCAAAGGAAAAUAUUAACAGGAACGUGCCAACGGGACCCGAAGUGGAGAGUCAGGAAAAGAAACACACUAAGCAAGCUUGGUCAUAUUGAAUUGUCCUACGCCGCAUGUCCAAGAAAAAGGAAGAGAGAAAAUACUUUUCAAGGGUAAUAAAGAAGAUUCUUACAAUUUCUCCAUUGUGGUUCUAGAUGUUAUUAUAUAUUAGGUUUAAUAAUAAGAAGUCGAAUAUUGCAAGAAUAUAUAAGGGAAAUCAAUAUACUAUUAAUUUAAA